CUUAUACUCCCUUCGUUCGAAAAUACUUGUCAUCAAAAUGGAUAAAAAGAGAUGUGAACUAAAAUACAUCUAGAUACAUCCUAUUUUAUGCAGUUUGAUGACAAGUAUUUUCGGACGAAGGGAUUAGUUA
Non-coding RNA from Triticum aestivum (bread wheat), 130 nucleotides. Lineage: Eukaryota; Viridiplantae; Streptophyta; Magnoliopsida; Poales; Poaceae. The record is from Rfam.